Long non-coding RNA from Symsagittifera roscoffensis, 682 nucleotides. RefSeq lists it as uncharacterized. The transcript is spliced from 5 exons. NCBI's taxonomy places the organism in Eukaryota, Metazoa, Xenacoelomorpha, Acoela, Convolutidae. The record is from RefSeq and is a predicted model, not a curated record.
GCAGCCGUUGACGAGGAAUCAUAUCCUACAAUAACACGCAUUAAGUAUCUUAACAGCAUUGGAGUUAUCUGGUAUCUGACAGAUAUGUUUACCUUCUGGCCUCAAGCAAUCAUGAGUGUAGCUCUUGCUGUGGAAAGGUAUAUGCUAAUAUCGCGAGGAUUAGAUGCACGUUCUUUUUUCAGUGUUCCCAAUCGGAAAAAGUUCUAUUCGGUUGUGUUUAUACUGACGUUCAGUGUCCCUUUGGUGCGAUUUGUUUAUGUACUUCAAGACGAACUUCAGACCAGUAAUUGCUUCGGUUGUAACCAGGACUUUGGAGAUGUAAUUAUAAUGAAAUAUAUGAAAAUAGCUUUUACCGUCUCGAUAGUCUUCUUGUGCGUUGUUCUCUACUGGCGAUGCUUUGUUGCUCUCAGUUCUUCGACAAUUAAAAGAAGCGAUACUCUAACGAAGGCGUUUGCUGCUAUAUUGCUGUCGUGGGUGGUUUUGGUAUUACCAUAUGAAAUGUUCUUGGACUUCAGCCACGAAGAAUUUCGUACAAGAAUAAGAUGGGGCAUAACAUCAAUGAUGAUGACCAAAACUUGGUACGAUGGAUAUGAGAAGUACCAUUUAUCUUUAUAUCCCCCUGAGAUUAGGGACAUUGUUGAGGUGUAUGGACUUACUGACAUGGAUCAUGGUUUUCGUUGGC